AGGAUUGCCUCUUGCGAGAAGUCGUCAUCCACUUGGGCUUUCUCGAGCUGGUUCUUGAUUUCUUCUAUAUUUUUUUCCUGCAUUGGAGGGGUUGUCGCGUUUCCAUCGUGAGAUAAACUUGCGGCACCGAGAAAUCCUAUCGUGAAGGUCUUCUUUGUGGAAGGAGGUCGGGUCAUUCCAUCCUUGGAGUAGAAAAGCACGGAAGCCAUUCUUGCCAAUCCAUCUCUUGUCGAAUUUAAAAUCUCUAUUGCCUUUGAGGUGACGAAUUCUUUCUUCCUCUGUCUUCGCAUUGACCUCUUCGGUCUUGCGGUUUAGGUUGAUUUCUCCUGAUUCCAGAGAUACACGGUUA
Molecule: long non-coding RNA, 349 nt
Filed under: Brassica napus (rape)
Lineage: Eukaryota; Viridiplantae; Streptophyta; Magnoliopsida; Brassicales; Brassicaceae
Description: long non-coding RNA (BNAP_LNC023411)
Source: RNAcentral